ACGUCCACUAAGAAUUACAAUGUAAAAAUCCAUUAAAAUUACACUAAGAUUUACACUAUAAAUACCGCUGUAAAUCCACUAAGAAAACACUGUAAAUCCAGUAUGAAUCCACCGUAAAACAUUGUAAAAUUCACUAAAUAUUACACCAAGCAUUUCAGUUCAAAUCCACUAAGACACUGCAAAUCCAGUAGGAAUUACAGUGUAAAUCCAGUAAGAAUUACACUGUAAAUUCACAUAGAAUUACAGUGUAAAUCCAGUAGGAAUUACAGUGUAAAUCCACCUAGAAUUACAGUGUAAAUCCAGUAGGAAUUACAGUGUAAAUCCACUUAGAAUUACACUGGACACUGUAAAUCCAGUAUAAAUCUUGAAACAAGGGACCCCGACCAAUCUUGAAAAGUCUGAGGCACAGAAAAAAUGAUAUACAAAAAAGGAGGAGAAAACAGCAAAAAAGGCAAGAAAAAAGCUUACCUCAUUUCCAAACCGUGAAGCAUAAGCCGUUUCAACUUUACAGGCAAAAGAGACAUUAUCAACAGCUGGAGCAUGAACUUCUGAUGUUGAAAUCUUAUUGGCAAAGGGGAUACUAUAGGUAGCUGCACCACUUGUUACUGAACAUGAA
Molecule: long non-coding RNA, 616 nt
Filed under: Triticum aestivum (bread wheat)
Lineage: Eukaryota; Viridiplantae; Streptophyta; Magnoliopsida; Poales; Poaceae
Description: long non-coding RNA (TAES_LNC026042)
Source: RNAcentral